Molecule: microRNA, 20 nt
Filed under: Ciona intestinalis (vase tunicate)
Lineage: Eukaryota; Metazoa; Chordata; Ascidiacea; Phlebobranchia; Cionidae
Description: cin-miR-4195-3p
Source: miRBase by way of RNAcentral
UACAUGUAAUACAUUGGCUU